This 521-nucleotide ribosomal RNA is filed under the name uncultured bacterium. RNAcentral's name for it is "bacterial SSU rRNA". It matches the Rfam family "Bacterial small subunit ribosomal RNA", at positions 988 to 1509 of the family's 1533-position model. The record is from RNAcentral.
CCAGAGAACUUAGCAGAGAUGCUUUGGUGCCUUCGGGAACUCUGAGACAGGUGCUGCAUGGCUGUCGUCAGCUCGUGUUGUGAAAUGUUGGGUUAAGUCCCGCAACGAGCGCAACCCUUAUCCUUUGUUGCCAGCGGUUAGGCCGGGAACUCAAAGGAGACUGCCAGUGAUAAACUGGAGGAAGGUGGGGAUGACGUCAAGUCAUCAUGGCCCUUACGAGUAGGGCUACACACGUGCUACAAUGGCGCAUACAAAGAGAAGCGACCUCGCGAGAGCAAGCGGACCUCAUAAAGUACGUCGUAGUCCGGAUUGGAGUCUGCAACUCGACUCCAUGAAGUCGGAAUCGCUAGUAAUCGUGGAUCAGAAUGCCACGGUGAAUACGUUCCCGGGCCUUGUACACACCGCCCGUCACACCAUGGGAGUGGGUUGCAAAAGAAGUAGGUAGCUUAACCUUCGGGAGGGCGCUUACCACUUUGUGAUUCAUGACUGGGGUGAAGUCGUAACAAGGUAGGCGUAGUGCU